RNAcentral lists this ribosomal RNA (253 nucleotides) under uncultured bacterium. RNAcentral's name for it is "partial 16S ribosomal RNA". It matches the Rfam family "Bacterial small subunit ribosomal RNA", at positions 524 to 776 of the family's 1533-position model. The record is from RNAcentral.
UACAGAGGGUGCGAGCGUUAAUCGGAAUUACUGGGCGUAAAGCGUGCGUAGACGGUAGCGUAAGUCAGAUGUGAAAGCCCCGGGCUCAACCUGGGAACUGCAUUUGAGACUGCUCUGCUCGGGUGCGGAAGAGGGAAGCGGAAUUUCCGGUGUAGCGGUGAAAUGCGUAGAUAUCGGAAGGAACACCUGUGGCGAAAGCGGCUCACUGGACCAUUACUGACGCUGAUGCACGAAAGCUAGGGGAGCAACCAGG